ACGCUCCCCAGCAGAGCUGCUGGGCUCAGAGCAGGACUCUGGACUGCUUGUGGAAACUGCGCAGCUCAGCGCUGUCGUGGACAGUGUCUGGGAGGAAGUCAAGCGAGGGAGGAAUCCGGCUGAGGUUGGACACCGAGGGCCAGGAGGAAUCCGGCUGAGGUUGGACAACGAGGGCCAUGUUCCCGGUGGGCAGAUGUCUCCUCUCUUUUACAAAGAGAUCAGUCCUUGGAUUUAAGUCCCAGGAUCCCCUUCAAGGUCAAAACCCCGUGACCUAACUUCCUCCCUCAAGGCUCCGCCUCUUCCCUUCCCAAGAGCACCUGGGGCAGGCUUGUGCUACAGUAUGACCUGGAGGGGUGCAACUCCGUUCCUACCUCCGCCCCCCUCUCUGCUUCCUGGCCAUUGUGAGGUGAGCCACUCUCCUCCCCGAGACCCGUCCCCCCAAGUCCUUUCUGCCUGGAGCCUGCCCUCCUGGGGCUCAAGUGGCAGCCAAAGUAAACCUCUCCCCCUUUAAAUUAUGGGUGUCAGAUAUUCUGGCUCAACCACAAGGAGUGAUGAUGACACCCCCAGACCUCACACUGUCCUGAUCUGGGAG
Long non-coding RNA from Chinchilla lanigera (long-tailed chinchilla), 592 nucleotides. RefSeq lists it as uncharacterized. NCBI's taxonomy places the organism in Eukaryota, Metazoa, Chordata, Mammalia, Rodentia, Chinchillidae. The transcript is spliced from 3 exons. The record is from RefSeq and is a predicted model, not a curated record.